AUGGAAUUUGGGCUUUCCCAAGGAGCCUUCAGGGUGGAGGUGGCCGCUCCUUCCCUGCUCCAGUGCCGUGUGCGGCGGGAAAAGGGAAUUUUGGGAAUGUGGGGAAGUGGGAAUGACAUUCCUGGUGAUCCCUGGGGGAGCUCAGCUGCACCUGGAGCUUCCCGGCUGUGCCGAGUUCCCUGUUUCCCCUUUUCCCUGUUAUCCCAUUCCGUGUGUGCUCAGCAUUCCCUGUUUUCCCUUUUCCCUGUUAUCCCAUUCCAUGUGUGCUCAGCAUUCCCUGUUUUCCGUUACCCUGUUCCAUGGGUGCUGAGCGUUCUGUGUUUUUCCUUUUAUUCCCAUCCCCAUUAUCCCGUGCCCUGUAGUUAUCCCAUUAUCUGUUACCCCAUUCCCUGUUAUCCCAUUCCAUUAUCCCAUUCCCUGUUAUCCUGUUCCCCAUUAUCCUAUCCCCAUUAUCCCAUCCUUGUUAUCCUGUUCCCUGUUAUCCCAUUCUGUUAUCCCAUUCCCUGUUAUUCUGUUGCCAUUAUCCUGUUCCAUGUUUUCCCAUUCCAUGUUUUCCUGUUCCCUGUUACCCCGUUCCUGACCCCAUUAUUCCCGGUGAUCCCGUUCCCAGAGGGUUUAUGGAAUGUGGGCACAGUGUGGAUGCUCUGUGUAGGGUUGAGGCCCAUUCCUGACCCCAUUCCUGACCCCAUUCCCGCCAAUCCUGUUCCCAGAGGGUUUAUGGAAUGUGGGCUCAGUGUAGAUGCUGCAGGUGGGGUCAGGGCCCAUUCCUGGCCCCAUUCCUGACCCCAUUCCUGACCCCAUUCCCGCUGAUCCCGUUCCCAGAGGGUCUGUGGGACGCGGGCUCGCUGAGGGUGCUGCAGGCAGGGUUGGGGCCCAUUCCUGACCCCGUUCCUGACCCCAUUCCCGGUGAUCCCAUUCCCAGAGGGUUUAUGGAAUGUGGGCUCAGUGUGGAUGCUCUGGGUGGGGUCGGGGCCCAUUCCUGACCCC
RNAcentral lists this long non-coding RNA (987 nucleotides) under Zonotrichia albicollis (white-throated sparrow). RNAcentral's name for it is "lncRNA (ENSZALG00000002738.1)". Lineage: Eukaryota; Metazoa; Chordata; Aves; Passeriformes; Passerellidae. The record is from RNAcentral.